Molecule: ribosomal RNA, 305 nt
Filed under: uncultured bacterium
Lineage: Bacteria
Description: bacterial SSU rRNA
Rfam family: Bacterial small subunit ribosomal RNA
Source: RNAcentral
ACCUACGGGGGGCAGCAGUGAGGAAUAUUGGUCAAUGGGCGGGAGCCUGAACCAGCCAAGUCGCGUGAGGGAAGACGGUCCUAUGGAUUGUAAACCUCUUUUGUCGGGGAGCAAAGAGACCACGUGUGGUCAAAAGCGAGAGUACCCGAAGAAAAAGCAUCGGCUGACUCCGUGCCAGCAGCCGCGGUAAUACGGAGGAUGCGAGAGUUAUCCGGAUUUAUUGGGUUUAAAGGGUGCGUAGGCGGGACGGUAAGUCAGCGGUAAAAAUGCGGAGCUCAACUCCGUCGAGACGUUGAGACUGUCGG